GAAUCAAAAGGAGCCCUUAUAGUGAUUCUGAGUUUGCACUAAGUUAACAGUCUUACAGAUAUGCGACCCAGGUGGAGUUGCUUUUAGUUCAGGUUCAGGAACCACUUGCCUCGGCCAUCGACUCCUGUCGUCUCCGGCGUCGCCUCCCCUGCCCGGAGCUCUGUGCGAUCCAACUUGCAUUUACACUGGCAAAUACUACGCCCCUUCGGAUCCCUCCGCUUUCCAGUGCAUCUCGCCACGAACAGGACAACGGAGAAAAAGGCGGUGGAACAGACGUUUCCGCCCGCGCCCAAACAAGGC
Molecule: long non-coding RNA, 300 nt
Filed under: Hordeum vulgare
Lineage: Eukaryota; Viridiplantae; Streptophyta; Magnoliopsida; Poales; Poaceae
Description: long non-coding RNA (HVUL_LNC016670)
Source: RNAcentral